CCUACGGGAGGCUGCAGUGGGGAAUAUUGGGCAAUGGAGGAAACUCUGACCCAGCAACGCCGCGUGAAUGAUGAAGGUUUUCGGAUUGUAAAGUUCUUUUCUAAGGGAAGAAGAUAGUGGCGGUACCUUAAGAAUAAGCCUCGGCUAACUACGCGCCAGCCGCCGCGGUAAUACGGAGGAGGCGAGCGUUAGUCGGAAUGACUGGGCGUAAAGGGGGCGGAGGUGGUUUGGCAAGUUAGUAGCGUAACUCCAAGGCUCAACCAUGGAACUACUACUAAAACUGUUGGACUUGAGUGCAGGAGGGGCAACCGGAAUUCUUGGUGUAGCGGUAGAAUGCGUAGAGAUUAGGAGGAACACCAGUGGCGAAGGCGGGUUGCUAGACUGUAACUGACACUGAGGCACGAAAGCGUGGGGAGCAAACAGGAUUAGAUACCCCGGUAGUC
Molecule: ribosomal RNA, 443 nt
Filed under: uncultured bacterium
Lineage: Bacteria
Description: partial 16S ribosomal RNA
Rfam family: Bacterial small subunit ribosomal RNA
Source: RNAcentral